RNAcentral lists this ribosomal RNA (466 nucleotides) under uncultured bacterium. Its description in RNAcentral is "partial 16S ribosomal RNA". It matches the Rfam family "Bacterial small subunit ribosomal RNA", at positions 28 to 507 of the family's 1533-position model. The record is from RNAcentral.
GACGAACGCUGGCGGCGUGCUUAACACAUGCAAGUCGAACGGAAAGGCCCUGCUUGCAGGGUACUCGAGUGGCGAACGGGUGAGUAACACGUGGGUGAUCUGCCCUGCACUUCGGGAUAAGCUUGGGAAACUGGGUCUAAUACCGGAUAGGAACCAUCUUUAGUGUGGUGGUUGGAAAGUUUUUUCGGUGUACGAUGAGCUCGCGGCCUAUCAGCUUGUUGGUGGGGUAAUGGCCUACCAAGGCGGCGACGGGUAGCCGGCCUGAGAGGGUGUACGGCCACAUUGGGACUGAGAUACGGCCCAGACUCCUACGGGAGGCAGCAGUGGGGAAUAUUGCACAAUGGGCGCAAGCCUGAUGCAGCGACGCCGCGUGGGGGAUGAAGGCCUUCGGGUUGUAAACUCCUUUCGCUAGGGACGAAGCUUUGUUGUGACGGUACCUAGAUAAGAAGCACCGGCUAACUACGUG